GGCGCGGGCCGGGGGCGCGCUCAGGGCCGCCGCGGCCGCCACGCGCUGCCGCCUCCCAGGGCCAUGUCUGGGGAGGGACCUGCGCCGCCGCCGCGCUGCGAGCCGAGGCCGAGGCUGGGCCGGGCGGGGCGGCGCUGACGUAGGGCCCGCCCGCGCGGACGCCGGCGGGGCGGAAGGGGCGGUGCCGGGCCGCGACGGGCCUGGCGGGGCGGUGGCAGCGGCAGCGAGAGGAGGGGACGAGGGCCGGGCUCGCCCUACCCGCUCGCGGCCCCGGCCCCAGCUCCAACGCCGGCCCAGCGCGGGCCCGCGAGCCCCGCCGCUCCCGCUCCUCCUCCUCCUCCGCCGGCCCCACCGGGCCCGGCCCGGGAGCGCCGCGCCGCCGAGGGCGGCAAGAUGGCGGCAGCCGCAGGCACGGCGGCUCCCGGGACGAGCGCCACGGGUGGACACCCGGCCGGCGCUGCCCGGGGAACGGCGGGAUCCGCGGCCCCGACGUGCGCGAGACGCGCCGGCGCGGACGGAGUCUUGGCCGCGCGCUCGGCCGGCGCCUCCCGGAGGCCCCUGUGGACGGCGGGCGCCUUGCGCGCAGCGCAGCCGGGGCAGGCGAGGCGGAGGCUGCGAAUCCUGUCCGUGACGAACACAGCGCUCUGUGACCUACACGUGAGUGUGUAUGGAUUUGGUUUGUACCAGCGGGGUGAUUAUAAAUAAAUUGCGCUUCGUACUAUGAAGUUACUUUUGGUUUUUAAACUGACUGGCGAGUUAGAGCACUCAUGCACAAAAUUAAUGGUGAGGUAGGAAUUCCUUGUUAUUCAGAGGUGCGAUUAGCUGUUUAAAGCCUCGUUAAAUAACCAGAGGACUCCCUGGAGGUAGCCAGAUUUUCCUCUGUCACCCGGCAGGUAUUCAAGAUUAAGUGGUAGGGUUAAUCACUUGAAUUUUUAUUCCUAUCAUUGUAGCCCAUAUAAUUUCUUUCCUUUCUACUUUCUUUCCUUUUGUUUUUCUUUUUUUCUUCCUUUUUUUUUUUUUUUUUUGACUGUGCUUGGGGGCUCGAGCCCAGACCCUUGCAUUAGGCAAGCCCUCUACCACUGAGCUGUUUCCCUACACUGUAUAUCCUUUGACAUCCUUGGUUUUAGUUUUUUAAAAAUGCUUUGAUAACAGUACCUGAAAUCUUGAAAAUGAAUUUUUAGCUUACUGUAAUGUCGAAGACUGAGGUUCUGGAGGCAGACCAUAGAACACUACCCUGGGUACAAAUUUAACCUUUUUGAACUUUGGUUUUUAACAUUUGUAAAAUGAUAUUAAUAGUAAUUUUCUCCUGGAUUGAUACACAAAUAUUCAGCAAACGUUGACUUUUGUCGUCACUGUUUCCACAUACUGUAUAAUUGUGUAGAUUUAUGCCUGAGACCAUGGAUUAGUUCUUUUAUUUUUUGAAAGCUUAAAAUCAUUAGCAAAACCCAUAAAGUUCAGUUAUGCUUACUUAGGUAUCUAAUUGCUGGCAAAUAGUUGGCUGAUAAAAGAUUUAUAUACUCUAUAAAAUUCAGCAGUUGUGAUACUUAAAUUUUGUAAAUGUCUACUUAAAAUUUAGUAAAAUGCAUCUAUGAGGUUUAUAAUAUUAAAACUAAAAAUCAGGAAGUUUUAUUUCCAUUCACUUAAUCUUUGGACAGCAUAAAAGAAACUUAAAUUUCACAAAGAGACUGGCACACCAUUGAGGGAAAAAACCUCGAAAAACAUGCUAGAGAGUAUGUGACCUGGUGCUUCAGAAAAAUUACAAAAUAAACUUGGAAAAAAGUAAUGGUGAACAGAGAGACAGCCUGUGAUUUGUAGAAAUUAUCAGUAUGUGGCAAACCAAUCGCAGAAAUUCUUAACUUUCACCUGUUUUCCCAUUUCAACUAAGUUGUUUGGAUCAAUUCAUUUACAGCUCAAAAUAGAAAAUAUUGUCUUAAUUAUUCUUUCCAAGCAUUCAUAUUUUGUAGUAGAAUGAUAUCUUAAUAUUCUACUUCAGGUGGCUGUCAACCAGCAAUAAUGGGCACAUUUUCAGUCUUUUGAAGAAGAUGACAGGCCUCUAUCUACCUAUACAAUCCCUAGCAUGGGUUAGAGGAGCUGCUGGGUGGGAAGCGUGUACUGUGUGACUGAAAGAGACAAAGUGAUUUGUGCCUGGGAUUUGAAUCUAUGGUGUUCAUCUCCCACUAGAUCUAACCUGUGAAUUAUUGUCAGGUUACUCCACCACAGUCUUAGGAGAGCGGGGUUUGUUUCUACAGUCUUGAAGAUUGUUGUUUUUAGGGAGAGAGGUGUUUGGUACUCUGGAAUUAGAAAACUUUUUUGUAAUUAUGGAAAUUAAAAGGCCUGUCCUCUUUGCUAUUUGAAUUUAUUUUGCCUUUCAAAUACUUGAGGGUUUUUUCCUUUUAUUUUAUUUUAUUUUGGUUUGGUUUGGUUUUGUGAUGCUGGAAAUUGAACCGAGGUCCUUGCACAAUGUUAGACAAGUGCUUUCUCCCUAAACUACAUCUCCAGUCCCUCAACUACCACUUUGAAAACAAGAGUACAUGAGUGGUUUAAAGAUACAAGCUAGUGGGAAAGUUUUAGCAGAUUUGCGUAAAGCAGAUUCCUGGCCCUAGUGAAAAAGAGAGUCCUCAGUUGCUUUUAUAUCAUCAGUAACUUGCUAUUUCAGCAAAGGUUCACUGCGUUCUCUUGAUCACUGGACUUGUGCCCUGCUUUCCUGUCCACAAUGGUUGGUGGCUGUUUGUUGCCCUUUUCUCAUGUCCCCUUUAUCACUGUGGGAAUUUGUAGUCCACAGUUGAUGGUAUCCAAAACCUCCCCUGAUUCUCUCUCUGCUGAGCUAGAGAUUCAGGCCUCAUAUUCUCAUGACUCCCAGCCCACAGCCUCCCUGAUGUAACAUUCUGUGGGCCAGGAUAGAAUGGACAGGGAAAGUUCCUGGCUCUUUGCCCUGAACAGAGAUGAUGGAAUUAAAGGGCUUCUGAACCAUCAGGCCUCUGCCUCUUUCCCAAAAGUCAUGAUGUUCAAAAGAAUGGCUUGCUGUCUGGAGAGAACCCAUGGUUUCAUUUUCCUCCUAGUUCCCAGAGUGUGCAGGGGAAGUGUGAGUUCCUGGAGUGUAAGCAGAGGAGCAGGACUUGUCACCCUAAAUUGUUGGCAGCCGUGGAAUUUCGUCCAUAAUGGAAGGUCAGUGACUGGUCACACUGAACCUUUCUUGUCUGCAGUGAAGAAGUGUCCUUGGUCUUCUACCACCAGGAAGAUAUGUGUAGACUUCAGGCUGUGACAACAUUUCCAUGUCCGAUUCCACAAAACUGAAAUGUAAAUUACCUUUUCUUUUUUUCAGAUUGCCAGACGCUGUUCUUAUGUCAAUAACAGAGUAUCUUGGGAAGAAAAAAAAAUCAGUAAUGAUCCUUCCUGGGACUUAUUUGAAAACAGGGUCAAAUUCUGAAGAGGUGAAGUGGCAAGAUAAUACACUAAGGGACCAAAUAUGUAGGUUCUGUUCAACAUGCGGGAACACACAGUUUACCACUCGGACCUCCUGGUUCUGGUUCUGCUUCUUGCCGUAGUCGAGGGGUUUCUUGGGUCUUACGGCACAAAAGGCAGGAGGAAGAACAUUAACAUCAGAGGUCCCUCUGGGGACAAAUAGGAAGUGUCAUGUCUUGGGAAUUCUUCAGUGGAGCCAGCAGGAGCACUUACAGGUUUGACUCUAAAUCUAUAAGGGCCUUUAAACACCUGCUCGCCUCACAGACCUGAAUGUGGAGAUGAAGAGGGUGAUGUGCCUGAGGGUACAGUCAGCCACAGAACAGUGCCCCUUCAUGGAGUCCCUAGUGUGUAUGUGGGUGUCGAUUAGUUGCGAGGAAUAAGGAGGUAAAGAAAGUUCCCCUUUUCAAGAACCAACCCUGGGCCUGGGGCAGACAAAUAGGUGACAGUGUCAUCUGAUAAGCACAUGAGCACUUCAUAAAAAUAAGAAGGAAAUUAAUAUCACCACCUAACUAGUAGGCAGUGCGGGCUUUCAUCCCAGGCCAUCCUGCCCUCCAAGGUGUAGGUGAUGACUUCAUCUCAUUGUGCAGGGACUUUGGGGGGUGGGGUACUGGGACUCGAACUCAGGACCUCACACUUGCCAGGCAGGCACUGUGCCACUGACCUAUGUCUCCAGCCCUCUACAGGCACUUUGGAGCCACACCAAAUCCAUGUGUAGGUUCCAUCUGCCAGUUAAUUGACUGGCAUCAUGUUAGCGAACUCUGAAACUCUCCAUUGUCUGUCAGCUGAGGGACUCAGCCUCACAAAGGCAAGGAGGGCAAGGCCAUAGAAGUGAAAGCAGUCGACCCUGCUCCUGGCACUUAGGUUCUCUGAGUUUCCAUUUUUAAUUUUCAAUCUAAGAUAGCACUACCUAGUUGUUGUUAUUUUUGUUUGGUACCCACUGUGUUCCCUAAAUGUGUGUCCAGAUGGCUCUGGGCAGAUUCAAAAAUAGCUAUGCUCAAGAGAGGAAAAUCGUUGUCAUGGAAGACUUUGAAAGGAGGGCUAUGUGUUCCCUAGGCAACUCUCCAAGGGGCGUCCCAAGCGUGUGGGCAGGAGGAGUGGCAAUGAGAUACAUGGACAGACACUGAAGGGACUGCUCUGAAAGGCAGCGCUCAAGAACAGUCUCUUUUUGGAGAAAGAAACUUCAUAGUUAUCUUUUAAAUAUUUGUUGGAAUCUUCAGGAUCAGUUUUGUGUUUUUGUUGAGAAAGGGUCUCGCUAUGCAGUUCAGGCUGGCCUUGAGCUCACUUUGUAGCCUAGGCUGGUCUCAAUGAUUUUCCUGCUUCGGCUUCCCAAGUGCGGGGAUUACAGGCAUGCGCCACCAUCUCUGACCAGAAUUGUUUUAGUGAAUGGAAGUUUAAUUUUUUAAUUAAGGUUUUUUUGUUUAAUACUAGAAAUGCCUAUUAAGAAAAAAGCUAUUUUAAAAUCUCAUUUAAACUGGAUGUGGUGACAAAUACUUGUAAUCCUCGUAUUUGGGGCUGAGACAGGAGGAUCACUGCAAUUUUAAGGCCAACCUGCACUACAUAAUGAGUUUAAGGCCAGCACAAACUGCAUAGCAAGACCCUGUCUUUAAAACACAAACAACAAAAAAAAAGAUUUUACUCGUUAGUGACUAAUUACUGUUUUGUAGUCUGUUACAUUUGUGCAAACCAUAAAAAUGCUUCCUGAAGAAGCAGUUUUCUCAUACCGGGCUCUGAGCAGCACCAGUCUACAGCACAUGGACCUGACUUUUAAGUCGAAUGAGAGGACACAGUUGUCAUGGGAAUGGUGGGGACCCCUGCUCAGGAGCUGUGACUGCUGCCAGAGGAAGAGGUGAGGAUGCCUGCUGAGCCAGAAAUAAGUGUAGGUGCCUCCAACAAGCAAGGAGAAAUCCUGCCUCAACUGCAAGUAGCCUCAGGAUAGAUUUGUGCCCUGGCCGGGGCAGGCCUAGCUCUGGGAAAGAGUUGAUGCUGAAAAACAGUAAAGACUCACCACUGCAUCCACUUAACCCUCUGCAUGUGCAGCACGUGGUACAGAGAGAACUGACCUAGGCGGAGCAGGGGCCUCCCUAGGUAUCAGUCUGUCACAUGAGGGCAGUCAGGAGUGAGGUUUCAGCCCAGCGCCAGGCGUGGUGAGUCCGGCGUGGAAAAGAUACCUUCAGUUAAACUAGGAAGCACUGGUUUAAAAACCUCAGCAUCCGUCCACUAAAAACAUGGCGCACCGAAUCUCAUUCUGACAUCUGUUGCUCUUGAGCAACAUUGUCCAAUAGAAUUUUCCCUUACGACAGGAGUGACUUUUACUAGUACAGCCACUAGCCAUAUAUGGGCACUGAGUGCUUGACAUGUGGCUAGAAUGACUGAGAAACUAAAUUUUAAUGUCACUUAAUGUAAAGUAGAUCAUCACAUGCAAGUAAUAGAGAGCUUCACUACUAAAGAAAUGACAGUUACACCAGCCUAACUCCAUGGUGGUCUGUUAAUAUAAUUUGUUCAGUAAAUUAGACUCUAGUGUAACCUCAUUUAUGUAGUGUCUUAUACUUUAUGAAUUGCCCUUCAAAAAUCUCCAUUUGGCAAACCACUUCUACAAAUGUGGAAAUCAAAAUAAAGCCCCCCGCCCCUUCAUUUUCAGUUUCACAGCCUAAAAUAUUUCUGUCAAUGCAGAGUUCUUACCACCCAGGCUCUGCAUUACUGGGUGACUGUCCAGUAAUCUUAAGAAGACCUUGCUCAGAUCUUUUGCAAAUGGAAAGAGAACCAAGAGAAGGAGGAUGAUGAGAGGGGAGGGAGUGGAAAGGAGAUGAAAGGAGAUGCAUUGUUUACAGGUACCAGCUCCCUAUGAUGAAUGUAAACUGCAAACGUGUAUUAAUAAAGAUUUAAAACAAAAAUAUACCUGCUCAUUCCAGACACCAUUCUCAAGCUGUUGCCUGGUCACCACAAUGUACAGUGAAUUUCCUGAGAUCUGUGUGGUCUGUGACUGCAGCCUAAACCUGAGUGACCACUGUAUCAGCCAUCUUUCACAAGUGGUCCCCUUUGAACCUGUGGUCAAACAGCUACUUUAGUUAAAAAGGCCACAUAAAACCCUACCUCAAGAGGCAAGGUUCCAUGUUACAUUGUGUCCAUUUUCAGCUCUUAGGUUGCUGGCAAUAGAAACAGCUAUCUCAAACAUGAACAAAAAGUCACUUGUUACAAAGAUUAAAAACUCAAAACUGUUGUUUUAAGUUGGAGAAUCAGGAUCAGAAAUGGUGGGAAUUAGUAAUGGCAGGCAUGGUACAGUGUAGCUGGGUUACUGAUGACAUGAGUUGGGUCCAGCCUUACUAUAAUCAUUUGCUCAGGAUUCAAAAUCAUUGAACAAACCAAAAAGUAGAAUGGACUAAACUUAUGUAAAUGUCUUCAGUCUGGUGCUGAAGACAGUAAAGCACCUUGAACUUUGUAUGGGAAGCAGACACCUGGACCGAUGAUCUCACCAAAAUUUUCUGAGGAAAACCCAGGUACUUAUAGAAAAUGAAAAGGAAUGCUGGAUAUCCAAAAAAAGCAUAUUUGAACAGUACAGUUCUUACAUGCCUGGUUCCUUAGGAGAUAAUGGAAACCUUCAGACUGCCUUCUCUUCAAUCAAUUUUUCUAAACAUUCAUUGCUAAACCAAAUGUCUAGAAAACCAGCCUGUUUUAAUCUAUUUGCCUGCACCACCCCAUUUAGUUAAUCCCACUGAUUUCACUUAGCUACACCAAGAAUCUAUUAUUACUCUCUCUUCAUCAUUCAUGUAUUUCCUUGGUGGUAUGAGAACUUGGACACUUCUGUGAUCUGACCUCAAGGCUAAAUAUCCUUUGCCAAAUAGGGUUGAUGUUUAAUACUUACUAAACAUCCAUUACUUUUCCUGUGUAAGUCACCAUUGUUACAACUUGCAUGUUUACCUUAUAUCCAGAGACUCAGUAUUUAAAAAAAAAAGGUGCACUCUAAAAUGUCUCUGCUGUCGCUGGCAGACAGUCUGAGUUGAUUAAUCCCAGCAAGCCAGAGGUAGCUUUUCAUCAGGGUAGUGGGUAAUCCCAGCGACUUCCCCUGAAGUUCAGGCUGGUUUGUGGCUGUGAGGCUGGAACUGCAUUUGUUGAGCCCGAAGCAAUUCAUGUGCUUCCUACCCACCUCACUUGGGCUGCCUGACCCUGUCCCUGCAAGUCACUAGAUAGAGCUGGCCCAACGCUGCUCUGCAUUCAGUUGGCUCCUGUCUGAGAUGAAAUGACCCUCUCCUGGGGGACAUCUGAACUCACCAGCCACUGCCCCAUUCCACAGUGCAUUUCUCUAUGGAGGCAUCAGGUUAUCAGUAGUCGCCUUACAUCCACAGGUUCAACCUGUUUCUCCCAAGCAGAGUUCAGGGAGACACUGCUGCCUGCCAUCUCCUUGGUUGAAGUCUUUCUGCUCUCCCUGUGGGCUUCAAUUCCCACUUCAGGUCCUUCAUGGGUCUCAGGGACCCACAUCCCUCUUGUUCAUAGUGCUAUAUUUCAGUGUCAGGAUGUCAGUUCAGCAAGAGGCUUUUUCGGAGGCUCCCCACUCCUGCCAUCUUCCUGGAAGUCGAAUUUCUCAUUGCCCAUAGCAUAAUAAAAAAAAAAAGUGUAUGUGUACAUAAAAUGUACAUUACUAGGAAAGGUGUUAGUGCUUCUAGAAAAACUAGGAAAUAUAUUCUAGGAGAUUACAUGAAAUUAAGAAAUUUUUUUUUUAAUUUUAAAUUGGAGCUUCCCUGUUGCACUUCCAGCCAAGAUGUAACAGGAAAUGGAUCACCUUCCCAAUGAAGCAACUGAAAAACAGAAGGUGUGUGAAACACUGAACAUCAGGCAUUAAAGGAUGAGAAUUCUUCAGAAAUUGGGAAAGGGAAUGAGGCCUCAGUCGCCCGAACUCACUGGUUGGUGAGUGUUUCCAGGCAGAAUGAGAUGGAUGGGAAUAGAGGCAGAAGCUGAAAGUCUCAAGCUGAGGUUUGGGCAAGGUAGCCAGAAUUCAGAGAACAGGGUCCUGGAAAUAGGAACAGUGUACACAAGAGGCCUCCAGUGACCUGAAGGUUUUCCUUCAGUGUUCAACGGAAGACGUUAAUUAGUGCAUGCAUGCAUGUGAGGAAUCUACCGGUUUGGGGAAGCGUUUUUCCUUGGGGGGAAAGAGACACUGGGAAGAAAAAGAAGGUGUAGUAGCCAGAGCUCACACCAAACCAAGGCCAAAAGUAACGCCUGUUCCCAACAGGUUGGAAAUGGGUGUUUAGCUCAGCAGCAUAAGCAUCUGCCUGGCAAGCGUGAGGUUGUGAGUUCGAUCCCCAGUACCAAAAAAAAAGAGGAACAUCAAUUACUAUUGGGGCUGGGGAUUUAUCUCAGUGGCAUAAGCGCCUGCCUUGCAAGCACGUGGUCAUGAGUUCGAUCCCCGGUGCCAAAAGAAAGGAAAUCCACACUUUCAAAAGUCACCUUACUACUAGAAGAUCCAUCCCUCACAAGGAGAUAAAGUUUAGCCCCAGACAAGGCACAUAUUUAGGCCUACCUAACAAAAACUGAUCCUUUUUAAAAAUAUGAGGUGCAAUCAAAAUUUUGUCAAAAUGUGUUACAGUAAGAUACUACCAUUAAUCCUCCCCAGAAUUCUCCUAAUUGAACCCACUUACCAUCAUGCUCACCACUUUUCGAAGCAGUUCUGGAAGCCUCUUUCCAGAAUGUCUUUAGUUGCACUGCUGUGGCUGCCUCGGUGACUUGAUUCAGGACAUUGACCUUUCGUGGGCAUUUUGUCUUUGUAGAAAAGCCACACGUUACUCUGCGCCAGAGUUACUGAGUAAGGUGGUUGGGGUAUACUGUAAUGUUUUUGGCUGAAAUUGCCAUAAAUGUUUUUAACUAAUGCAGGAUAUUUAAGGCAGCCACGAAAGUACAUGAAAGAAGACUUCCAAAACUGCUCAGACAGUGAAGGGGGGCAUCCUGAGUAAGAUGAACAGCAAGUGUCUUACUGUAGUGAUAUUUUUGUGUUUUUAAACACUCACUUUUCUAUCACACCUGAUAAUGGUAGAAAUACACAAUAUGCACUCAAGGUAAACAAUUUCUGUCAUCCAAUCAAAAAUUACCAGGCAUAAAAAAAACCUGGAAAACAUAACUCGUUUCCUGUUGUCUUUGUAACUGAUACCACAAACUCAUAAAUGGCAUAAACUAACACAAAUGUUCUCUAAAGACCAGAAGUCUAACCCAGUUGGGGAUAUAUUUCCAUUUUUGUCAGGAGAAUAUGUUUUCUCUUCCUUUCAGAUUCCAUAUUUGUUUGCCCAAAGCCCCAUACCACUCUUAACUCUGUAACUCUUUUUCUCUGUCUUAUAAAGAUUCUUGAUUGUAGGAGAUGCCUCUGUCAGAAUUCUUCAGUGACAUCUGUAAAACUCCUUUUCCUCUAUAGUAUAUCUCUAUGUUGAUGUGUGCUUAUUCUGCUUACCACAAAAAGCAAAGCAAAGGAAACACACCUAGAGGUGAAAUAGAUGAUAAAUUAGACAAGAACCCUGACUGCAGUUUUUAUGACUAUAGUCCACAUGUUCAAGAACUUAGAGGAAGAGCUGAACAUAUUAAGUGGGAAGCUGGAAGAUAUUUUUAAGAGACUAAAAGAUGGAAUUUGCAGUACCUGAAAUUAAAAAAUACCCUGGAUGAGAUGAAUGAAUUGGGCAUUGGAAAACAGAUACAUUGCAGUAGAAAGGGAGACCACAAAAAGGCAGGGGGGACAUUACUAUGUAGAAUCUCACAUAAACACAUGUGCAUCCCAAAUUGCAUAGUCUGAAAAUAUGAUGCUCUAAUUUCAUGAAAAUUAUAAAUCCAUGGAUCCAGGGACCUAAAAACAAAUGUAAGAAUGAAGAAAACUACAUCAAGGCACAACAUAAGCAAAUUUCUUAAAAUCAGUGAAAAGGGAAUUAUAAAAUCAGACCCUUCUCCCCCAAAGGCACAUUACAUGGAGAAAGACAAUAAUAGAAGUUCCUGCAGAUUUCCCAUCAGAUACAAUACAAAUUGAGAGAAAUGGAGCAGCCCGUCAACCAAGAAUUAUUUGUCCAGUAGAAAGAUCUUUCAAGAAAAAGGGCAGAACCACAUGUGAUGGUGCACAUCUGCAAUUCCAUCACAUGGGAGGCUGACCCAGGAGGAUUGUCUUUCAUUCAAAGCCAGCCUGGGGUUCAUAGAGCUCAAGGCCAGUCUGGCUUAUGUAGUGAGAACAUAUCAGAGAAAAAGCCAAGAAUCAAUGAAAUUAGGAAUGAAAAAGGUGAUGUCACAGCAGACCACCAAAAUCCAGGAAAUCUUUAGUAGCUACUAUGAAGACUUCAUGCAAAUUUGUUGUAUUUCAACACAUUUAAAAUUUUUAAGAAAGGGGGGCUGGGGGUUUAGCUCAGGUGCAUAAGCACCUGCCUUGCAAGCAGGCGGUCGUGAGUUCAAUCCCAGUACCGAUAAAAAUGAAAAAGACAAAAAAAAAUUUUUUUUUGAAGAAAAGGAUAGAUGACUAGAUAUAUGAAUUACCAAAACUGAACCAAGAAGAUGUAAAAAUUCUGGUACUUCACAUGAUCAGAGAAAUUCUUCUAGUAACCAACCAUAAAAAUUAUUCCUGAAAGUGUAGUCUUAGAUGUAAAAUUUCUGAACAAGCCAGUAACAAGCAAUGGAACUGAAGCAAUGAUAAAAAUCUUACCAACUAACAAAACUCCAGGCCCUGAUAGAUUCACUGCUGAAUUCUACAAUAUCUUCAAGGAAGUUAUAACACUAAUAUUGCUAAACUUUUCAUUCCUGGAAGCUAGUGUCACUCUGAUCAUAAAACAAGAGACCUGACUGACAAAACCAGAGGCCAGUCUCCUUAAUAUAGACACAAAAAUUCUAUGUAAGAUCUUGGCAAACAGAAUGCAGCAAAUUAUCAAAAAGGUAAUACAUCUCAAGGUUAAACACAUGGAAUCAAUAAAUUAAUACAUCACAUAAAUACAAAGAAAAAAAUCACAUGAUCAUAUCAAUACAUGCUGAAAAACACUUUUGAAAAAAAAUACACGCCUGAUUUUUAAAAAUCCUGAAGAGAAUUUAGAAAAAUCACACUUUAAUCUGAUAAAAAGCAAUUUAUGACAAACAGCCAAGAUCAUAUUAUAUGGGGAAAAACUAAAAGUGAUACUUUUAAAACCAGGAACAAGAUAAGAAUGUCAACUAUCAUCACUCACCUUCAGUAAAAAAACAUGAAACAUUAACCAGAGCAGUCAGGCAAGAGAAAGAGAUGAAAGAGAUAAAUAUAGGAAAGGAAGAAAUCAAAUUUUAUUUUCAGAUAACAUGAACCUCUGGCCAGAAGACUCCAAAAACUCCACCUAAAGAUUUCUAAAAUUUUAAUCAAAUUCAGCAAUGUAACUGGAUAGAAAAUCAAAUUCCAAAAACCUAUAGUACUCCUAUAUAUCAAUAAUGAACUCACAAAGAAAACAGAAAAUGCCAUUCUAGUAGCAUCAAGAAAAGUUACCAAUUAAUCUAAGGAAGUGAAGACCUCUAAAACAGAAACUAUACAACUCUGAGAAAGGAAAUCGAAAUUAGAAAAGAUAUCCUCUGUUCUUAGAUAGGCAAAGCCAAUAUUGUAGAAAAGGCCCUACUUCCAAAACUGAUAUAAAGAUUUACUACAAUCCCAAUCAAAAUACCAACUGCAUUGCUCACAGAACUAGAGAACAGUCCUAAAAUUCAUAUGGGACAAACAGAGACCCAGAAUAGUAAAACCAAUCCUGGCCAAUAAGAGCAAAGUAGAAGGCAUCAUUAUACCUGACUUGAAGUUAUAUUACAAAGCUAUGGUGAUUAAAAACAGCAUGGCAUUGUAAACAAAUGACAACAUGUAGGUUAGUAGAACAGAAUAAAGGAUGCAGAAACACCUCUGGGCACAUUCAGCUAUUUGCUCUUUGAAAAAGGGACCAAAAGCCUACACUGAAGGGUAGCCUCACCAGCAAAUUGUGCUGUGAAAGCUUGCUAUUUACAUACAGACAACUGAGACCCAAAUGUGUCACCAUGUACUAAAAUUAAAAUAUAUCAAAGAUUAAAUAUUGAAACAGAAGCACUUAACCUCCUGGAAGAUAGGGGCUUCCCAAACAGAAAGUCAGUUGCACAAGAAAUAACAUUGCUGUUAUUUCUUGUGCGUUGCAAUAGUCAACAAAUAACAUUGCAAGAGUCAACAAAUGAGACUAUAUCAAAUUAAAAAGUUCCUGUACCUUGAAGAAAACAACAGAAUAAAAACCAUCUAUAGAAGAAGAAAAAAAUUUGCCGGCAACAUCUCCAAAGAUUAAUAUCUAAAACAUAUAAAGAACUCAAAAAAAGUAGGCUCCACCUCUCAAAUAUAAAAGACCAUCCAAAAAAAUUUUUUAAAGAUCCAAAAAAAAAAAAAUGGUCAACAGAAAUGAGUAGACAUUUUUCAGAGGAAGAAAUGGAGACACCUGCGAAAAUACAUGUAAAAAAUAUUCAACGUGACUGGUCAUUUGAGAAAUGAAAGAACAAUACUGAGGUUGCUUACAUUCUUUUUUUUUUUUUACACCAGGAAGAAUAGCAACCAACCAGACAGUCAUAAUCAAAAUAAAUCUACACCCAGGCAUAAAAUUAUUAAGAUCCCCAAAAUUCAGCAUAAAAACAAUAUUAAAAUCUGUUAAAGACACAACUCACCUAUCAAGGAAAGUGAAAGACCUAUUAGAAUCACAGCAGACUUCUGAGCACAGACUCUCAAGUCAAGAUGAGCUUGGAGUGAAGUGUUUCAAGUCCUGAAAGAAAACAACUUUCUACCCAGAUUGAUAUACCCUGCAAAAAUUUCUUUGAAAAUUAAUGAAGACAUAAGAUAUUUCCAUGACAAAGAACAACUGAAGAAAUUAAUGUCCACCAAACCAACUCUAGAAAGAGUACUGACAUACUAGAGAUAAAAAUAACUACAAUUUCCAGAACAACAACAGAAAGAAACCUCCAGAUAGGGCAAGCAAUUAUACAAGGGGAAAAAGCAGGAAACCAACAAUGGGAAAACAAGGUGACAAAGUUGAGUUACUACAUAUCAAUUAUAACCAUCAAUAUAAAUGGCCUCAAGUCACCAGUUAAAAGAAACAGAUUGGCACAAUGGACCAAAAAACAGGAUCCAACAAUAUGCUGUACACAGGAAACACAUGUGACUCAAAAGGAAACUCAUAGACUAAAAGUCAAAGGAUAGAAAACAGUAUAUAAGAAAUAUACUAAUAAAAGCUACUAAAUAAAACACUAAAUACUAAAUAAAAAAACAAAUAUGCAAUAACAGAAUUGAAAUAUCCCAUUGUCACAAAGAGAUAGAUCAACUAGAUUAAAAAGUUAGCAAAGAAAUAACAGAACUGAGUCAAACCUGUGAACAAAUGGACUUAGUAGACAUUUACAGAGUGUUUCACUCAAGCAUAUCCAAAUACACAUUCUUCUCUACUGUGCGUGGCACAUUCUCUAAAAUGGACCAUGUAUUAGCCCAUAGAACAUUCUUUUUCGGGGGGGGGGGAGCUUUUUCGUUUUUAUCAGUACCAGGGAUCGAAUUCACGACUGCCUGCUUGCAAGGCAGGCGCUUAUGCCUCUGAGCUAAAUCCCCAGCCCCCCCAUAGAACAUUCUUAAGUAAAGGCAAAGGAGUUGAAAUUAUCUCAUGCAAUAUUAUCUGACCAUAGUGCACUGAAACUGGAAAUUACUGGCAAAAAAAAAAAAAACAAUCUGCAUAAACACAUGAAAAUUACAUGACAACCUCAUGAACAACCAAUGGGUUACAGGUGAAAUUAAAGAAAUUAAGCAAUACCUACAAUUCAAUGAAAAUUCAGAUAGAACAUACUGAAACUUGUGGGAUGCAAUGAAAGCAGUCCUAAGAGGGAAAUAUAUAGCAAUGAAUUCUCACAUCAGAAAAACUGAAUGAGCACAAAUAACCUAAUGCUGCACCUCAAACUUCUAAAAAAAAAAGAGCAAGUCAAACCCACAGCUCAUAGAAGAGAGGAAAUUAUAAAGAUCAGAGCAGAGGGGCUGGGGAUUUAACUCAGCGGCAUAAGCGCCUGCCUUGCAAGCAGGCAGUUGUGAGUUCGAUCCCCAGUACCAAUAAAAAGGAAAAAGACAAAAAAAAAAAAAUCAGAGCAGAAAUUAAUGCAAUUGAGACUAAGAAAAUAAUACAAACAAUCAAAGAACUAGUUCUUUAAGAGAAUAAGCAAAAUUGAUAAACUUCUAGCCAACCUUAUCAAGAAAAGAAAGAAAAAACUCAAAUUCAUGCAACAAGGAAUGAAAAGGGUGAAAUUACAGAUCCCAUGGAAAUUCAGAAGAUCCUGAAUACCUACCUUGAAAAUCUUUACUCACAUAUGGUGGAAAACAGAGGAAAUGGACAGAUUUCUAGAAACAUAUGAAUUACCAAAGCUGAAUCAAGAAGAUGUGACACUUUUGAAUAACACAGUAUCAGCCACUGAAAUUAAAAAUGUGAUUAAAAACUUACCAACAAAGAAAAGCUCAGGUCCUGAUGGAUGUACAGCUGAAGUCUACAAGAAAUUUAGAGAAAUUUAAUGCCAAUACUCUUCAGACUUUUCAAUGAAGUUAAAAGGGAAGCAUUCUUACUAACACAUUCCUGGAGAUAAGUAUUACUCUGAUACCAAAACCAGAGAAAGACCCAACCAAAAAGGAGAACUAUAGACUAAUAUCCCUAAUGAACAUUGAUGCAAAAAUUCUCAGUAAAAUACUGGCAAAGAGAAUACAACAAAUCAUCAAAAAGAUUAUACAUCAUGACUAAGUGAGAUUUAUCCCAGGAAUGCAAGGAUGGUUUAACACAGUAAAUGAAUAAAUGUAAUACACUACAUCAACAAAGCCAAACACAAAAAUCACAUGAUUAUCUCAACAGAUGGAGACUCUUACAGAGUCCAGUACUCAUUCAUGAUAAAAACUUUACAGAAACUUGGAAUAGAUAGUCUCUAUCAAUAAAAGCCAUCUAUGACAAAGCAACAGCCAAAGCCAUACUAAAUGGACAAAAACUGAGUUUUUAACCUAAAAUGUGGAACAACACAAGAAUGUCCACUAUCCCCACUCUUAUUCAAUAUAGUUCUGGAAUCAUUAGCCAGAGCAAUGAGUCAAGAAAAAGACAUAAAAGGAAUAAGGAUAGGAAAAGAAGAAUUUAAAUUAUCACUAUUUGCAGAUGACAUGGUACUCUACAUAGAAUAUCCAAAAACUCUAUCAAAAGUUUUUAACUCUAUCUAGAGUUAAUAAGCAGAUUCAUCAGUAUAGCUGGAUACAAAAUAAAUAGGCAAGGCAGGAGGCAUCAUAAUCCCUGACUUGAAAUUAUACUACAAAGCUACAGGGAUAAAAUCAAGAUGGUACUGGCAAUGAAAAAAAAAAAAAAAAACAGACCUGAGGACCACUGGAACAAAUGAAAAGAUGCAGACACAACUACAGACACUGAGCCACCUUAUCUUUGACAAAGGAGCUAAACAUAUUCACAAGAAAGAUAGUCUCUUUAAUAAAUGGUGCUGGCAAAAUUGACUUUCCACAUGCCAAAGACUGAAACUAGACCCAUGUUUAUCAUCAUGCAAUAAACUAAAGUCAAAAUGGAUCAGUGAUCUAAAUAUUAAGACAGAAACACUAAAUCUACUGGAAGACAAGGUAGAUAGAAAUGUUGAAGACAUACGAGUAGGCAAAGAGUUCUUGAAUAAAAGCAAACUGCAUGGGAAACACUUCAAAGAAUCAACAACUGGGAUUUCUUAUUAAAAAGAUUUUGUAGUUCAAAAGAAGUUGCCAACAGAGUGAAGAGAAAACCCACAGAAUAGGAAAAAAUCUUAGGCAGCUGUCCGUCAGACAAAGGGCUUAUAUCCAAAACAUAUAAAGAACUGAAAAACAUCAGGUCCCCCCAAAUCAAAGACCUAAUCCAAAAAUGGGCAUCUGAAAUGAACAUACACUUCUCAGAUGAAAAAAUACAAAAGGCAAAUAAAUACAUGAAGAAAUGUUCACAAUCACUGGUCAUUCAAGAAAUGCAAAUUAAAACAAUGUUGAAAUUCCAUCUCAGUCCAGAAAGAAUGAUUGCCAUCAACAAACCAACUGAUAUCAAAUGUUGGUGUAGGGAAAAAGGAACCCUUUCCACUGCUAGUGGGAGUGUAGGCUUGUGCAACCACUGUGGAAAUCAGUGUGGAGAUUCCUCAAAAAACUAGGGUUGAAAGUCCCAUUUAAUUCGGCUAUUCCCCUUCUGGAUAUUUCCCCCCAAAACUGAAAAUGUCAUGCUACAAUGAUAUGUACACCUAUGUUUAUUGCAGCACAAUUUGGUUGUUUCUGGGAAACAACCAAAAUGCCCAUCAAUCACAGAAUGGAUAAAAAAGACAUGGCAUUUUUAUACAAUGGAAUAUUACUCAGUUGUAAAAAAUGAUAAUCUUGAGGAUUUUGUACGUAAGUGGAGGCAACUUAAGACCAUACUCAUAAGUAACAUAAAUCAAAUUCACAUUUAUAAGUAUCAUAUUUAUAUGAUAAAUAUCUCUAGUACAAAAAAAUAAAAAUCUGAAAAAUCAGUAUUGUCCAAAAUGUACAAUAGAUAUUGUAAUAAUGAAAGGGAAAGAAAAUGCUCAAAAGGACAGAAUUACUGGGAUGAGACAAGGAAAAAAAGGAAGAAAGGAAAAGAGUAUAUGUUUGUUGGUAAACAUAUAUAAAUGUAUGUAUGUAUAUGUCUGCUAGAUAGAUAACUAUACUACUAAUCUAUCAAAAAGAACAGUUUGUUCUGUCUUUGAUAACUUUUGUAUCUAAAUUUGUGAGCUGAACAACUAGUUCUAUGAUAAUAUGCAAUAUAUUAACUGGUGUUAAUUCCCUACCUUUUUUCUUUUUUGAAAUUCUGUAUCAUUUCUGACCUUUUUUUAUUGUUUUGCUUUUAAAACAAAAAAAAGGCUGAGAAUGUAGGUGAGUGCAAGGUCUGGUGUUCAAUCUUAGUUCUGCAAAAAAAAAAAAGUAAUAAUAAUCCAGUGUUGUACAAUACAUUAAAUGUAUGUCUCAAAUAUCAUUCAUCAUACAGAGACCAAAGAAAAUCUCAACCUGGAUGAAAAAAAAAAAAAGGAUAAAGAGAUGCCAACACCAAAAUGAUAGAGGUGGCAUAUUUAACAUGAAUUUUAAGUUGAAAUCAUGAAAAUGCUUCAGUAAACAUACAUAAAAAACAUCGUUUCAGCAAAGAAAUGAGAUAUGAAGCACCAAAUGGAGAUUUAAGCACUGAAAAAGUGUGUGAAGAAAUCACAGCUGAAAAUAUCCCAGACUUGGCAAGACUCGAUGUAAGCCUGCAGAUCAAAGAAGCUGAAUAAGCCCAAACAGGAUAAAUGCAAUGGAAUCUACACCAAAACGUGGGGUAGUCAAACUUCUGAAAACUUGAUAAAUCUUGAAAGUGGGAGAGAAAUGAAAUGUUACCAAAGGAAGAAAUCGUAAAAGGACAGUGCCUUUCUCAUUAGAAACCAUGGAGGGCGGGAGGAAGUGGCAAACUAUUUCUCAAGAGCAAAAGCAAAAGAACUCAGGCUCAGGGUACUUAAGAAAUGAUGUAGGAAUCAAGAUUUCCUCAGAUGCAGAAAAACUAAGAAGACUUGUCAUCAGAGCUACCCUGAAAGAAUGAGUGAAGGAAUUUCUCUAAGUACACCUGAAGUAAUAAAAGAUUUGAAAUCAUGAAGUAUUAAAAGUGAACUCGGGGCUGGGGAUUUAGCUCAGUGGCAUAGGCGCCUGCCUUGAAAGCAGGCAGUCGUGAGUUCAAUCCCCGGUACCGAUAAAAAGGAAAAAGACAAAAAAAAAAAAAAAAAAAAAAAAAAAAAAACUCAAAAAAAAGAACUCAGGUGGGGUGGCAAAUGCCUAUAAUCCCAGCACUCGGGAGACUGAGGAAGAGCCUCAGUUUUGAGCUCAGAGUCAGACAGAGCUACAAAGGGAGCUCAAGUUCAGUCUGAACUGCAUAGCAAGACCCUGUCUCAAAAAAGACCAAAAAAAGAAAAAAAAAAUGGUGAAGGAAGAAAAUGGGGUAAAAAUACAUAUUCUGUCUCAUAUUAAGUUUUCUAAAUUAGGUAUGAUGGUGAAAUGAGAGAAUAUAAAUGAUGAUAUACGCACAGAGAAUAUAAAAGAAAUACUUAAGACAAUUACACUAUAAGUGGGGGAGAACAAAGGGAAAUAAAGCGUUACACUUCACCUGAACUAGCAAAACGGCACCAUUACACGACUAAGUCACGUAACAGUCUAAUACUUAGACCAGCCGCUAAAGAAGGUAUGCAAGGAGACACAGAAACAUUACAGAUACAUAAAAGUAUCACAAAAUGACCAAAUAAUCACAUAGGGAAGAUAAACAAAAACAAGACCUAGAACAAAAAGGAAACAAAAACAAAAAAUUGAAUGGAAAACUUAAGUCCUAACGUCAAUAAUUAUAUUGCAUAUAAAUGACUUAAGCACACUAAUUAAAGAUGUGUAGCUUGGGGCUGGAGAUUUAGCUCAGCGGCAUAAGUGCCUGCCUUGCAAGCAGGCAGUCGUGAGUUCAAUCCCUGGUACUGAUAAAAACGAAAAAGACAAAAAAAAAAAAGAUAUAUAGCUUGACAGACCAAACUAUAUGGCAGUUAUAAGAAACCCAUUUCAGGGGCUGGGGGUUUAGCUCAGCGGCAUAAGCACCUGCCUUGCAAGCAGGUGGUCAUGAGUUCGAUUCCCGAAAAUGAAAAAAAAAAAGACAAAAAAAAGAAACCCAUUUCAAAUAUAAUGAUACAAGAAGGAUGAACGUACAAUGAUAGAAAAAUAGGCCAUGAACAUUAAUCAAAUAAAGUAAGUUUUUAUUUUAAUAUUAAAGUAAAUUUGAGGAAGAAAAUUACUAGUGACAUUGCAUAAUGAUGUAAGAUACAGCAACCCUAAAUGUGAUACACAAACCAACAACAGCUACAAAAUAUGUGAAUCAAAAAUGGACAAAAGUUGGGUGUGGCACCACAAGCCUGUAAUCCGAAGGCUGGGUAAGGAGCACAGCAAGCUGGAAGACUGUUCAGCCAUAUGGUGCUGCUCUGUCUCAAAAAACAAACAAGGUCAUCAAGAAAUCAGCUGACAACAAAUGUUGGCAUGGUUGCGGGGGUGGGGGAGGAACACUGCUCCACUGUUGGUGGGAGUGCAGACAGGUGCGACCACUGUGGGAAUCCGUGUGGAGAAUUCUCAAAAAACUAGGAUUGGAGGUUCUACUCAAUCCAGCUCUUCUCCUCUGGGGUAUUUUCCCAGAAAAACUGAAGAGAUCAUGUCAGUGGUAUAUGUGCAUCCAUGUUCACAGCAGCACAAUUUGUAGUAGCUAAAUCUUGGAAACAACCAAAAUGCCCAUCAACCACAAAAUGGAUGAAAAAGAUGGCAUGUUUAUACAAUGGAAUAUUAUUUGGCUGUAAAAAAGGAUGAUCUUGAGGCUUUUAUAGGCAAAUGGAGGCAACUUGAGACUAUCCUCAUAAGUGAAAUGAAUCACACAUUUGUAAAUAUCAUAUUGUCUCUCUAGUAUAAAAAGUAAUAAUAAAAAGCUGAAAGAGUAAUAAGAUCCAAAAUGUAUAAUAGAUAUUAUAAUAAUGAAAGGGAAAGAAAGUGCUCUAAAAGAUAUAACUAUAUGUAUGUUUAAGUGUGCAAGACAGAUAACCAUACUACUAAGUUUUUGUUGGUCCAUCAAACAGAAUAGUUUGUACUGUCAUUGUUUGAUUGUCCACUUUUUAUGCUUUAAUUUUAUAGGUUGAACAACUACUUCUAAGAUAACAUGUAAUUUAUCAACUAGUGAUUUUUUACUUUUUUUGCAAAUUGUGAUAUGUCUACCCUUUUUUCUGCUUUGCGUUUUUUUCUCUAAAUAAGAAAAAAAUACAAAAUAGAAAACGGCUGGGAAUGUGUCUUCAUGGUAGAAGGCUUGCUAGCAUGAGCAGAGCUCUGGGUUCAACCCUCAGUACUGGCAGAAAACAGAGACAUCACAACUGUAGCUGGAGACCAUAAUUCUUUUCACAACUGAUAAACACAACCAGGAAGGAUGUGGAACAACUAAGCAUCACAAACAACAAGAUCCAGUGAACAUCUGUCUAAAACUCUACUCUGGACCAACAAAAUACACAGAGCAUAUAUCUAAAUCACCAUAGCUUGGUGAAUGAAACAAACUUCAACAAUUUUAGGAAAAAAAUUGUUGUGUGUGGUACCAGAGAUCAAAUUCAAAAUCUCAUGCUUGCCCAGCAAGCGCUUAUGCCACUGAGCUAGAUCCCCAGCCCAAGAAAACUUAAAACAUUUAUAAUACAUUGUUUGAUAAAAAUUGAAUCAAACUAGGAAGUAUCAAAGGUAACAGAUAAAUCUCCACACAUUUAAAAACUAAACAUUGUAAAUAAUGGGUGGGCGACAGAAGUCCCAAGGGAAAUUAAAAAGACAAUGAUUUGAAUGACACUGAAAAUAUAGCAUAUUAAACUUUAUGGGAAUCAGGGAAGUGCUGAAAGGGAAAUUUAUAACUAAUUUCUUACAUCAGAAAACCUUAAGAAACAAGAGGUAUGUCUUUAGAGCAAAUAAAAAACAGAAAUAAUAAGGUGGAGUAGAGAGCUAUGAACCUGGGAACCAGAGACAGAGAGAGAGAGAAAAGGCUGGAUCUCUGAAAAGAUCAAUAAAAUUUAUAGACUUCUAGUAAAAGUGACAAGAAAGAAGAUGCAAAUUUACCAAUAUCGGAAAUAAAACAGUGGCCAUCACUACAGCCCCUUGGACAUCCCUGGCUAAAAAGAGAAUUUCAUAAAAGUUCACGUUAAUUUGACAACUUGGAUGCAACAGACCGGUUUCUUAGAAAGCAUACAUUUCUCUCAAUGUGAAAUGGGUAAUUUGAAUAGCUCAGUAACUGUAGAGGAUAACCUAAAAAGUUCUUUAAAAAUUAAUGUACAAAUACAGGCGAUUUAACGAGAGAAUUCAGCCAAAGUUUUAAAACUGUAGCAUCAAUCCUACAUAAUCUUUUCCAUAGCAUGUAAGAGAAGGAAAUACUCAUUAUUAUGAAUUUCACAUUAAUGUCUCCUUUUACUUUCCUGAUGGAGUGCCCUCUCCAACUCUAACUUGUUAACUUUCCAAACUCUAGUGCCCUUCAAAGAAGGGGCCCCAGAAGUGGCUUGUCAUCCUUUUCCCAGAUGAGAACUUGGUAUCUGAAAUCCAGAAGAUUCUCAUCAGAGUCAUCAGCCUGCAGGACUGUGAAAAGUAUUUUUUGUUGUUUAUAAACUACCCAGCCCACUAUGCUUUGUUAUAGCACUCCAUCUGAAGCAAUUAGCAAGAUAUUACCAUGAUACCAGAAUUACCACGACACCAAAAGACAGUAUAAAAAUGAGAAACCGUAGACCAACAUCCUUCAUGAAAACAGAUGUGAAAAUAUUGAAAAAUGGGGCUGGGGAUUUAGCUCAGUGGCAUAAGCGUCUGCCUAGCAAGCACAAGGUUGUGAGUUCGAUCCCUGGUACCAAAAAAAGAAAAAAAAAAUUGAAAAAUAUAUUAGCAAACAGAAACCAGCAAUAUAAAAAAAGAAUUAUAUAUUAUCACCAAGGGAGGUAUAUGACCACAUCAAUUAAUGCAGAAAAAAAAGACAAAAUUAAGGCUUCACUCAUGAGAAAACUAGAAAUAGAGGAGGGCUUUCUUUAUCUUGAUACUCUACAGAAACAAAGAAAGAAAAACCACACAACUUCUGCAGUUAAUGUUAUAUUUAAUGGUGAAAGACUGAAUUAUUUUCCCCAAAGAUGAAUAGAGGGAAUAAAAUUCAUUCUCAUCACUGUUACUUAACAAAAUACUGUACGUUCUAGCCAGAAUGAUAGGAAAGAAAAGAUAUUCAAUUGGGAAAGGAGGAAAUAGAAUUGUGCUGUAAUUUAAGAACUGUGAUCACUAAGUCCGGUGAUAGAUACGUGGAAUCCCCUGCCCAAGGCAGGAGGAUCAAAAAUUCAAGGCUGCCUAAACUACACUGUAAGACCCUUGUCAAAUAAGAAAGGGAGAGGGGAGAGGAAAGAGAGAGGGAGGAAAGGGAACUACAACUAUAAAACUCACAAGAAAACAGGGCUGGGUAUGGUAGCACACACUUGUAAUUCCAGCACUUGGGAAGGCUGAGGCAGGAGGAUCACUAGGAGUUUUAAGGCCAGCCUGAGCUACAUAAGUUCAAUGCCAGCCUGCACUAGAUAGCGAGAUCAUGUCUCAAAAGAAAAAGAAAAAAAAAUCUAUCCCCUUACAUUACACCGAAAGCAAUUUAAAAACAAUAAAUAGAUAAAUGGGACUCUUAUUGAAACUUAAAACUUGUUCAUAAAAGGACUCUAUCAGGAAAGCAGAUGACAACUCAAAGGAUGGGAACCUAUAUGUGGAAAUCAGCUAUGUAAUAAGGCGUUAAUAUACCAAAUAGAUGAAGAAAUUCUACAAUGCAAGCACAAAAAGAGCCCAAUCCAAAACUGUAAAAGACUCGAAUAGACCUUUGUCCAAGGAGAAUAUGCAAACAGCCAAUAGGUAUAAAAAGAUGCCCAGCAGUAUCAGCUGUUAGAUAGACAAGUCAAUACCACAAAAUACACACUAGAAAGGCUGCAGCUUUUUAAACAGGAAGUAACAAUAACCGAUGACCAUGUGCAGGCAGAUAUGCAUUAUGAGCGCGAUCGUAAGCUGUGGUAGGCCCUGUGGAAAAGUUUUUUAGUUCCUUAGAAAGAUAAAAAAUUUAACUGCUAGACUUGUCCAGCUCUCCACUCUAGGGUUUGCAUCCAAAGGAAUUUAAAGCCAAGGCUCAGAUACACCAAUGUUCAUAGCAGCAUCCCUAAUCAUGGAAGGCAGAAACGUCCCAACGCCCUCUGAAAAAUGAACGGAUAGAAACAAUACGGCAUAUCCCACACCGGGAUGCCUUGGGUUAUGAAAAGGAAUGAAUUCUGGUUCACGCCACAACGCGGACCAUCUAGAAAACGUGCUAAGUGAAAAAAAGCCAGAGCGACGCUUUUGGGGGAAAUAAAGACAAAUACACAGAAGUUAAAUCUCACAAAUUCAUGAAGGCAGAAAGUUGGCCAAAGGUUACCAGGGCCCGGGGAAAUGAGGAGCUGUUGCGUAAUUCAGAGUUUCUGUUUGCAGGGGCAAAAAUUAGGGAACCCUGAGUUGGGAUGUUUGCACAGCACUGCAAAUAUAUUUAAAAUUGCUGAGUUACACGCCUACAGACAAUGAAGUGGGAUUUUGUUACAUAUAUUUCACCAUAUUUUAUCUAAAGUUCAGGUUGAAAUAUAACAAAAACUGCUAGGUUUGCACUUUCUAUAGGUGGACUGUGUAUAAAUUGUAUCUGGAUAAAGUUGCUUUUUAAAAACCUCAGUGAGCCCCCGUUAGAACCGCCGCGGGGCGAAGAGAAGAAUGUGAGGAGCUGGAACGGACCCCGCUGCUGGAGGGACAGCCGUCUGCAAGCCUUUUCUUCAGAGUUCUGAGAGAUGCAGCCAGAAGUCACCCCCGGUCUGUGUGCUUUUCUUGGGUACUCUCCCUUGUCCUGACCUAAGGGGAACCUCAGUCAUACAGAUGGAGUGCAGAGACCAAACCCUGGCACCAGCGCUGCACCCCGCAGGGAAACCCGUUUGGCCACCCAGCGCAGCAGGAAGAAGCCACGCUGUGCUCCGGAGAACGUGGAGGAAGCUGCGUCUGUUUUUCUGUUUCUGCCUGCAGUUCUUUUGCCAAAGGCAGGGGGCGCUGGAGGGAGGAAACCCAGUAAUCCAGGAAUCCCAUCUUUCUCCCCAGAUCUCCAAGAAAGCAGGCCCCCUGGGAGCUGGGGAAGUCUUGGGGAGUCCAGAGUAGAGGAGACCUAGGAAGGGGUUCCCAGCUUCCAUGCAGACUGGAGACAGACAGACGGACAGAAAUUUCCCUUCGCACUACUGGUUCACAAGGAGCUCAGCUAGGGAAUUCCUGGAGUCCUUAUGUCAGAGCCUAGAGUUAGGAGAACAGAAAUCUGGAAAACUCAUUCCCGGAGCGCUGGGGGGGGGGGGGGGGGGCUCCUGUUCUGACUCCUCCUCUUCCCCUUUCCAAUUCACUUGUCAGAGGCUUCAGGAAGUCAGUGUUUAAUUUUGCCCAGAAUUUCCAGUUCUGGUGGGUAGGAGAGCUGAGCUAAAGGGCGCUCACUCCAUCCUGGCUCACGUGAGCUGUGCUAAGACUUUACAAAUGUAAUACAAUGUAAGCUGCAGAGGGGUUUGCGUUUUGUAGGUAGUUAAGCGGGAUUUUUUUUUAUAGUGGAUAAAACAGACUUUUUUUUUUUUUUGAGACGAGGUCUUGCUGUGUAGUUCAAGCUGGCCUUGAGUUCGCUGUGAAGUCCAGGUUAGUCUUGACCCUGCAGCGAUCCUCCUGCCCCAGCCUCCUGAGUGCUGGGAUGACAGUCCUCUUAUUAGAGGUGGUGACCUCUAAUAAGAACAUACUUUUUAUCUUCUUUUGUGGCAACAGACAGGCACUCUAGGAACGGUUUGCUUGGCAGGUGAAGACUGCAGGGUCAUAGUUCUUAAUGAUAAAAUGAAAACUCCGGUGAGAACUUCACUUUAGCUCAAUUUGCUUCCCGGUUCAAUCAAAAUUAAAGUUAGAAUUUCUUGAAGACUUUUGUUUGCUUGUCGGUUUAGUUUUGCAGAACUGGUGAUGGAACCCGAGUCUCUACACUGAGCUAUGUCCCAGGCUGGUUUUUGUUUUGUUUUGUUUGUUUGUUUGUUUGCUUAGACAUGGUCUCACCAACUUACCCAGACUGGGCUCAAAUUUAUGAUCCUCCUGGCUGUGUCCCAGAGUGCUGGGAUUUUAGGUCCUGACUUUAAAGGUGUUUUUGAAAAGUUUUUGGUGCCUCCCAAUGUCAUAGUACUAUAUGAUGAAUCCCAAAUUGGUCUUCCCUAUGUAUUCAAACUUGAUAUAAAACAAUGCCAACAAUACUUUAGCAUCAUCUCUUUCUGUUCCAAACACUGUUUCUAUGAAGCAGUUGAUUUUAAAAACGUAUUUUAGAGUUUUUCUAAUAGUGUACAGUUGUGUCUGUUUUCUUUGCUUGAAGUUAGUAGACAAAAAGACUUUACCUUAUUUGUUACAAAGAAUCUUUCUUAAGGAAAAAGAUUGUUUCAAAAGCAAGACAAGGGGCUGGGGAUUUAGCUCAGCAGCAUAAGCGCCUGCCUUUCAAGCAGGCAGUCAUUAGUUCAAUCCCUGGUACCGAUAAAAAAAAAAAAGAAAAGAAAAAGACAAAAAAAAAAAAAAAAAGCAAGACAAACAGUAUGUAAAUUCAUAACAAAUGUUUAUUUUUUUAAAAAACAUUUUCAAUCUUGAUGCCCUUUACAGAUACAGAAUGGCAGUGUCUCUCCAUGGGAGAAAGUGUAUCCGUACUGGUUGGAUACAUAAAAGUUGUGAAGGUUGCCACAGGCUCUUUUGUCAUUUGCCACAGAGGAAGAACUCAUUACCCUGUUGCUAAGCAACAGUACUUCAUCAAGAAGAACUUCGGACAGGAAGAGAGGGCAGGGGAGGAAUCGUCCAAAUUUACAAAGGGAAAGAGAGGGCGCAGUGCACCAAUGAAUAGAGAUGAAGGAAGCCACCUUUUGAAAACUAAGCAGAGGGGAUUCAAGGGAGCAUUGGAGAAAUAAACAGAAAGCUCGAUUCCCAGUUCUUCCAUGCGCAUAGCACCUUUUAACGGGCCAAAAGAUUAACCCCAACACAGCUCAAUGAAAUUAAAGUGCAAAAUAAUAGUAAAGUGAUUCUUAUUGACAUGUUUAAUUAAAACUUUGCUCAAACUAACAUCCUCACAAUAGGGAAAGAAAAUCAACACUAACAUUUUACUACAAUUGGGCUUCUAGACAGAGUGGUCUGCAGAUUUCAAUGUUUGUAGAUCCGAGCAGAGGGACAUCGGGAGAUGAAUGUUGGUGUUGGAAGGGUUCAGCCCUUUCUCCAGGGAGGGCUCGUAUCUGCAGCAGACUUGUCAUUGCUAAUAUGUGUGUUAGCAGUUGCUUCUGGAUCCACUGCGGAAAACAAUGCAUCCUGUCGCAAUAAUCCAGAGUUCUGUGGCCCUGGCAAGACCUCCUGCCUCAGUGAAGAUGUCAGGAGAGCCACCAAUCACUCUGACAUAGAUUGCUCCCAGCAAGGCAAAUACAGCCACACGGCCACAAACCAACAGUUUGUCAGAGGCAAGACCUGUUAAAUGAAGUACACUUGAAGAUUACAAAUGGCAGAAGUGGAGCUAUAAAGAUGAACUAAUGAAAAUGAAAAAUCUCAAUUGAUCUGGAAAAAAGCGGCAGGCUUUCAGGUGUUCCCGUGAUGCCUGACACAGUGAGCCAGACACGACGCUGGUGUGUAAGUAAGAGGUGUCCCAGUAUAUGUGGGGGCUGUGUCUGCACUGGCAGUUAAGACAGUGACCUCAAUAAUGUAGGCUUUGCACAAAUCAUAGUGAAUAGCACUAUGUGAAGGCAUAAUCAGCCUUCACAUUCCAGCAGCUAAAAUGCUACAAGAGUUUCUUCCUGCACGAGCUUAGAAUAUAUAAAAAAAUUAGCAAUUUUCUCAGAACAGUAUAGCUUCUGACACAAGUGCCUGCAUAUUCAGUCAGUGCUCAUCUGCCCACUUUCCCCUGCAUCUGCCAUUUAGCUGUUUCUCAAGCUGGCUGCUUAGGAGUCCUUUCUAGUUCCUAAAGACAGUUGUUUAAUUAAUUGUUAAUUAAACAAUUAAUUAAUGCUAGAAUAACAGCAUUGUCCAAACGGUUGCAGGUUUACCAUAAGUUCAUCUGACAGUGCCCUUUCGUUGGUUCGUGAUUCUGCUAAGCACACCCUUCCUGUUUCUCCCCCGCCCUCCCCACCUCUUCUCCCCUUCCUAUGCCUCAUCCUCCAGCACAUCCACUCAGUGGUGCUGUGCCAUGUCUCCAAAGAUAGAGCGGGUGAAUUCUUGUAUAAUAAAUUUUGUAGACAUAUUUCUGAAAUGGUAAACUAAAGGAGAUAAGUUUGUCACAGUCUUUAUUAUCAGGAGCCGUGUCCCAGGGGAAAGGGGGCACGAAGGGCUGAAGCCGUGGGUGGGUAACAUGGUAUAGAAAGCUGAGUUUACCAUUCACAUGACGAGUUACCCGGAAUACUGGAUUUACACACCAGUGGACACCUCCUGAGUCCACUUAACUUCUGUCCACAAGAAUAGUUUAUUGGUGACACGCAAGCGAUAAUAUCAGUGAAGUCUUAACCAUGCAAAAUAUUUCUACUUCCAUAUAAUCCAAAGACUCUAUUGUGCACCUUAUGAAAUCCUGUCUCUUGUCAUGAUAGACACUGAAAUAAAAUAAAGAAACAUUGCCUAUAUUUUAAUAUAAUCAGCUGGUAAAAACUGGCCUUUUCCCUGCACUGUAUGAUUGUUCCUUAGAAGGUAAAUUACUAAUUGUAUACUGCACAAUUCUGUUCUCCACUGAAAAGAUUUAGCUAUUCUAUAUAAAACUGUCAUGUCAGAAAACGAUCUGUGAGCCUUCCAGGAAGAUCGCAAAGUGGUGAACAACAAAAAGCCUCUCCCAGACUUGCUGUCCAGACUCUGGAGCACAGCACCAUGAGGAAGAGAAAGAGGAGGGAAGUGGGUGCCCAGCACCGAGGAAGGAUCUGAAGCGAGGAUUGAAGCCCAUGGGAAGAACGGAGAGAGAAACUUCAAGAAGGAGGAGGAAGAGGCAGGCUGCACUUUCUCCCUAAGCCUGGACUCACUGCAUGGAUGGAUGGUCUCAGCGUCGAGGGCCUGAAGGAGUAAAUUCACAGGUGAGGUUCCCAAAGUAAGCACGUGGAACAGACAUCAGCAAAACAGCACCUGCAUCUUUAUGUUUAACCCUUACACGUGCUAUCGUCGGGUGUUUACGUUCUUCUACACUGACUUAACCGUGCAGUGCUUGCGUGGUUGUCUAAUGCUAAGUCACGGUUAUGUAAGUGUAUCCCGCUGUGCACCUGCACUAGACAGUGAGUUCAUGUCCACAGAUGCCCCCAGCUUUGAGGCACCCCACAGUGGCCCCCGUAUAGGGGACUGGAACCUGCAGAUACAGGGUGACAACUGGCAGCCCCAGGGCCUCCACAAAGAAGUACAGUAGUGGAGUAGGGCAGUGGACACAGAGGGCCACAGUGGUGGUGAAUUGUUCUGGGUCAGAAGUCCACAGGAGAGGGGACUGGCCUGAAGCCAUCUACAAGACAGGCUGACCGAGCUCGGGCUCCGAGGGACUGCUGGCUCCUCCUAGGGGCUUCUAGCACAGUUCAAGCCUCAGGGACAAGUGGACAGCUGCAAGCUGGGCAGAUCUGGUUCUAGCCUCGAAGCCAGAGUCCAACUGAACUUCAGCAGAAACAGGGGUGCAGGCUCGCUGGGAUUAUCCGCUGCCCUGCAUGGAGCUGCUUCGGGCUUGCUGGGGUUGAUCACAGUGGACCCCAACUCUGUCUACACAUGUUGUCUACCAGUGGCAGCAGAGACACAACCUGGACAUUUCAUUUUAUUUUCAAUCUUUCUUGUUUUGGUUUGGUUUUGUGUUUUUUGUUUGUUUGCUUGGUUUUUGAGACAAGGUCUCAAUGUGUAAUCUAGGCUGGCCUUGAAUUUGCAGAGAUCCUCUUGCCUCAUCCACCCGAGUACUGAGAUUACAGAUAUGUACCAUCAAGCCUGACCUCUCUCUCUCUUUUUUAAUUUUAUUUAUUUAUUUAUUUAUUUUGGUCUUUUUCGUUUUUAUCGGUACCAGGGAUCGAACUCACGACUGCCUGCUUGCAAGGUAGGUGCUUAUGCUGCUGAGCUAAAUCCCCAGCCCCUAUAAUUUUAUUUUUGGGUUGUUUGUUUUUCCUCUUUUUGUUCUUCUUUUUAUGAAUGUGAACAUAGUUUCUAGUUUUGUUGCUGUUGUUCUGUUCUGCUGUUUUUUUUUCCUGCUUUCUUUUCCUCCUGUCUUCUGCACCAGUUUCCUGAAGUUUGUGUGAUCCUCCUUUGUCCUCCAGCCUCGCCUCUAACCUCUUCCUUUUCUUUUAUUUCUCUAUUUUUCGCCCAAGUCCCUUUUAAAUUUUUUCCCCUGAGGGUAAAUUUACUACCCCGAGGAUAUAUUCACUGCAGACAAUUUUCUGCUUUGUUUCAAAUUUUGUUGUAUAACCACAAAUCUAAUUCGCAUGGUUAAAGGUGGCAAAUUAAUAGUUACUUCAGUUUUCCAUUUUCUAGGCUGUGUUCAGUGCUCCUGUUAUUGCUGAUUAUAUUUUAGCCAAAGUGACAUAAUUGUUCUAACCAAUUGUACUUCCUGGCACACCAAGACUGAGACUGCCUAAGGGUCCUAAAAAUACUAUAGGCCAGUCCCAAAGACCCACGUGGUGGACCAAGAAGGCAGCUGAAGAGGCAGGAUCAAUAAACUGAAGAGGUAGGAUCAAACCAAAGUCAUCUGCUAUACCUGGAAGACACUGGAGAAAUAGUCAUUUCCUAAAGGUUCCAAAUACUAGCAAUAAAGCUUCUUACCAUAGGCAAUUUACAAGCAUCAACCUAGAAAUUAAACUAAAAAAAAUAGGAUACAAAAUGAGAAGAUACUUAAACAAGAUACAACCCCAGACAUCCAGCUCACCAAAGAAAAUGAUCUGUUAUUCAAGUAAGUCUGCUUUACUUUUUCUUUAAAAAUAUUUUAACAUGCCUUAUUUAAAAUUGUUACCAUAUUUAAAAAUAGGGUUAAAAAAAAAGAAAUUCUAAAAAAAAAUUUAAAAACAAUAGGAUAAUACAGAUGAAAUUUUUCAUUUUUUAACAGAUAUAACUAAUCUUUAGUAGGGGAUAAUUUGAUAUUAUCAUUAGAGUUUGCACUAGCUAUUAAAAAUAUAAUGGCAACAUAUAUUGCAAGAAAACAAGUAGGAUCUGUUAAUUUUUAAUAUUCAAGGACAUUUUUUAAAUCAUUGUUUUAAACUAAAAAUUGUUUUUUAUUUACUUUUUGAAGAAACCUCUGUCAAAGUAUUAUUCAUUCUCAACUGAUUUAUGUGAAUUUAUAUUUUUUUUCCAUGAAAUAAAAAUAGUUUCACCAAGUUAAGGAGAAAAAAAUCUGGAUCUGUUUUUAAGGGUGAUUCACCCAGUGUAAGAAUAACUAGUGAGUAUGAGUUAAAAUAAAUGAAUAAAUUAAUUAAUUAAACUUCUUCCUAUACUAGGGUACUUUUACAAGCGGUUCAGGGGAUAUUAUAACUGUUACUCUCUUAGUCAUUGUCUCCAUAUGCAGUAAUAUUUAUGAUCCCUUUAUAGUAAAAUAUAAGAAUUUGUUACAGUUAUUGAAAACAUUUUUGUCCCCAUGGACAUAAAAAUUUUGAUGCCAUUAUGUUUUUGCUUUGCUAUAGCACAUCCAUUCCUCCCACCCCAUUCCAUGGAUCAAACUCACAACCUCACACUUGCCAGGCAGACACUUAUGCCGCUGAGCUAAAACCCCAGCCCUCCGUUUGCUCUUAAACUCUAGGACACACCUAAAUACUUCCUUUGCUUUCCCGUCCUCCUGAGAGACACAGCUGUGCUCUCGCAUGUACUGCGAGAGAAUUUGGGAGAAUUUAAAUACUAUGGGAAAUUAAAUACUUAAAGGAAUAAGAUUCUUUGAUUCUUCAAGUUUUCUGUUUCUUUUUCCACAGAUCAUUAUGGAGAAAAUAAUUACUGGUUACUGAUAACAGGCACGAGGUCCUCUGCUGUACAAAGACCUAACAGAUACUGCGUGUGUUUAUAUCCAUGAACUUGAGCUACCUGUGUGCAAAUCUGUGUACAGGAAUGGAGUAGCAUCCAUGGAUCUCACUAAGUCACCCAGGAUGGCCUCAAACUUGAAACCCUGUCUCUGCCUUCCGAAAAGUUUGGGUUACAGUUCUUACUAUUUUCAAGCACGCACAGAGUGUUUCCAAGUCACGUCACAGGCAUCCGGGAAGCAGGCCUUGGCAAACUGAAGAAAACUGAAAUAAUAUCAAGUAUCUUUUCCAACCAUAAAGAUAUGAACUUAGAAAUCAAUAACGGGAAAAUUCAUAAAUAUGUGGAAAUUAACACACUUCUGGACUAAUACGGCAAAUAAGAAAUCAAGAAGGAAAUAAAAAUCUGUCUUGAGAUAAACAAAAAUGGAAUAAAAAAUACCAAAACCAUGGGGUGCAGCCAAGUUCUUAAAAGGAAGUUUACAGAAAUAAACACAAAAUAUAAAAAGAAAAAUCUGAAAUAAGCAACCUAACUUUAUACCUCAAGGAACUAGAAAAAGAACAAACUAUGUCCAAAGAUAGAAGGAAGGCAGAAUGAUUACAGAAAUAGAUGAAAUUCAAAUUUGAGAUAAUAAAACAAAUCCAUCGAAGCAAAAAUUGGAUUUUUACAAAAAUAAGCAAGAUCCACAAACCGUUAGUUAUACCUAAAAAAUAAUAUUCAAAAAAACUAAGGAAUGAAACAGGAGACAUUAAAACUGAUACCACUGAAAUGAGACUACUGUGAACAAUUACAUGGCAACAACUUGGAAACCAGAAGAAACUGAUAAAUAUCUACGCAGGUGCAGCCUGCCAAGCCCAUCAUGAGAAAACAAGAAAUUUACUAAAUGUUUAAAGAAUACUAACUGCUCUUAAUCUUUCCUCCCUCCCAAAAAGCCCUAGAAGAGGAAUUUAUUUUAAGUCCAUAGGACUUUGCAGGACUGGGGCCAGCAGUCUGAGCAUCUAUUAGGAGGAUGAUGUACGCAGAACAGCAAAUAUGGGGAUUUCUUUCUGACUUGCUUUUGAAAUCCAGUAUUGUUCUCACUGUUUUGUUCUGAUUUAUUGUCUUUUUAUUCAGUGUUCUGUUUUGACUGGUUUUAUUCUGCUUUGUUUUGAUUGUACCAUGCCCAAUGGUGUGACAACUAUUGUGAAGAUAACAGGAGAUACUGUGGUAGCCAUUGUCGAUUUCCCAUUAGUGUGUUUUGAAACCCUGUAUCACUUUUCUUUUUUUUUUUCUUUUUGAGACAGGUUCUUGCUAUGCAGUUCAGGCUGGCUUUGAGCUCACUUUGUUGCCCAGGCUGGUCUUGAACUUGCAAUGAUCCUCCUGCCUCAGCCUCCUGAGUGCUGGGAUUACAAGUGUGAGCCACCACGCCUGGCUAGCCCUGUAUCACUUUCACUGUUUUGUUUUGAUUGGCUUCAUUCUGUUUUAUUUUGUUACAUUUUAUUCCUCUAAAGCAACAAAAAAAAUCUCUAAGAGCAGAUCAUGAAUGUUAUCACACUCAGACACACUCACUUGUGGUACUAGCAAGGUCAGUAGAACACCCCCUCAAGAGGAGCAGUGCUUACAUGGGGCUGGGAACAGUUUCCUUUCCCAGCUACCCGAGGGGAAAACUGGGUAACUCACAUGGCCUGGGGACAGUGUCAGAGGGUUCCGCUGCAGUAAUAAAGAAAAAUUAACUCAGUAUCAGAGUUUGUCAGCCUCAGGGUAGACUGAGCAUCCCUCAAAAACUCACAAUAUCUUGCUUGGAGCCAAAAAUUACCGCGCAUAGAAAUAAUAAGGAAAAUAUGAUUCAUAAUAAAAAAGAAAUAAAACAAUAAAGAGAAAUUCAGACAACACAUGAUUUGAUAGUAGAUGAGGAUGUUAAAGAGGCAUAUAUUCAUAUAAAAUGUCAUAUGGUCAAGAAGACAGAAGAAAGAUUCAGCACAUUAAAUGAAGACAUAGCAGAUGUGGAGAAAACAUUUAAAAGAUCCAAAAUCAAGGUCUGAGGUAAAAAGUACAAUGGAAUGGAAUAAUAACCGAUUAGAUGCUGUGAAGAGAAUUAACAGUGAAUUUGACGUCAAACAACAAACAUUGUCAAAAGUGAAACAGUGAACAGAUUAUUGGUAACAUGAGCCGACUUUGUCCUGACAUAAUUGGAAAGGGAUGAUACAAAAAUGUUAGCAGUAAUAAACAAGAAAUUUCUAAAUA
Molecule: long non-coding RNA, 33178 nt
Organism: Cavia porcellus (domestic guinea pig)
Lineage: Eukaryota; Metazoa; Chordata; Mammalia; Rodentia; Caviidae
Exons: 3
Source: RefSeq, a predicted model, not a curated record